UACGGGGGGAGCAAGCGUUGUUCGGAUUUACUGGGCGUAAAGGGCGCGUAGGCGGCCUCUGCAAGUCGACUGUGAAAUCUCCGGGCUUAACCCGGAAAGGUCAGCCGAUACUGCAGGGCUAGAGUGCAGAAGGGGCAACUGGAAUUCUCGGUGUAGCGGUGAAAUGCGUAGAUAUCGAGAGGAACACCUGCGGCGAAGGCGGGUUGCUGGGCUGACACUGACGCUGACAGCGCGAAAGCGUGGGGAGCAAACAGG
This 255-nucleotide ribosomal RNA is filed under the name uncultured bacterium. RNAcentral's name for it is "partial 16S ribosomal RNA". It matches the Rfam family "Bacterial small subunit ribosomal RNA", at positions 524 to 776 of the family's 1533-position model. The record is from RNAcentral.